GGGGAUCUGAACAAGUCCCCUGCCACCUUCCAAUCACCUCUGAUCACGUCUCCUCAGGAGAUGCCAGGGGCUUGUCUCUGGGGUGACCGGGAGGCCGAGAACUUCCUCUGGUUCUGACAGAGCUUUCCAGAAUCCGACAGCUCCUUGAGUGUCCUGCACAGGUUGCUUUAGGCAAAUCAGUGUAGGAAGAGAUAUCUUCCCUACAAAGCCGCUGGGGCAAGGCGCAUGGCAGGGGCUGGAAAGGCAGCACCAUUUUCUGCAGCUUUGGCUGCAACCAGCCCCAAGGCCUGGUAGGUAGAAGUUUCUGGAAAAGGCCUCAUGGAGCAGGAAGCGGAUGGCCUCUGAGCAGAGCAGGUGCGGAGGCCCAUGUUGUGGUCAUCUGCACCUCGACCUCAGCCCACGGGGACCUGAUGCUGACAGCCUUUAACUCAACCCCCUGGCCCCAGUUGUCAUAGAGGGACACUCGGGAUGCAAGACUCCCAAGUCUCCCCGUGCUGUCAAGGAGAGGAGGAGCGCCCCCCCCCCCCUGAACUGAGUCAGGGCAUGAGGACACAGCUACCCAGACGGGAGGCUCCCGCAGCUCGGCCUCACUUCCUGCCACCAGAGGGCUGUUUCAAAGCGAGGUGUGUCAGGAAACCCACUGGCCCCCAGCACAGCGAGAGCCUCACUCUAGUUGCCUGCCCUGCCCAUCACGAACGCCACCCCCUGGGCCUCGGUUACCUCCUCCCGUCAUCGGAGCAGCCCAGGGUGGGAACUGCUCUUACCCUCUCCCCUCCAGGGAGGAACUCAAACGGAGAGAUUGAGCUACCACAAGAUGGGCCUGAUCCAGUGUGAUGUUCAGACCUCAGCAGCCACAUUCAAAACAUGCUUUUGUUUUAAACACGUUGAC
RNAcentral lists this long non-coding RNA (889 nucleotides) under Heterocephalus glaber (naked mole-rat). Its description in RNAcentral is "lncRNA (ENSHGLG00100049486.1)". Lineage: Eukaryota; Metazoa; Chordata; Mammalia; Rodentia; Bathyergidae. The record is from RNAcentral.